AUACGUAGGUGACAAGCGUUAUCCGGAUUUACUGGGCGUAAAGGGCGUGUAGGCGGCCUUGCAAGUCAGAAGUGAAAUUCCUGAGCUCAACUCGGGCGCUGCUUCUGAAACUGCAGGACUUGAGUGCUGGAGGGGAUAGCGGAAUUCCUAGUGGAGCGGUAAAAUGCGCAGAUAUUAGGAAGAACACCGGUGGCGAAGGCGGCUAUCUGGACAGUAACUGACGCUGAGGCGCGAAAGCGUGGGGAGCAAACAGGAUUAGAGACCCUGGUAGUACACGCCGUAAACGAUGAAUACUAGGUGUAGGGGGUAUCGACUCCCUCUGUGCCGCAGUUAACACAAUAAGUAUUCCGCCUGGGGAGUACGGCCGCAAGGUUGAAACUCAAAGGAAUUGACGGG
Molecule: ribosomal RNA, 396 nt
Filed under: uncultured bacterium
Lineage: Bacteria
Description: partial 16S ribosomal RNA
Rfam family: Bacterial small subunit ribosomal RNA
Source: RNAcentral